This 834-nucleotide ribosomal RNA is filed under the name Nigrospora osmanthi. RNAcentral's name for it is "eukaryotic LSU rRNA". It matches the Rfam family "Eukaryotic large subunit ribosomal RNA", at positions 76 to 938 of the family's 3401-position model. The record is from RNAcentral. Lineage: Eukaryota; Fungi; Ascomycota; Sordariomycetes; Amphisphaeriales; Apiosporaceae.
UCCCCUAGUAACGGCGAGUGAAGCGGGAACAGCUCAAAUUUGAAAUCUGGCCCUUGGGUCCGAGUUGUAAUUUGUAGAGGAUGCUUUUGGUGCGGUGCCUUCCGAGUUCCCUGGAACGGGACGCCUUAGAGGGUGAGAGCCCCGUACGGUUGGACGCCUAGCCUCUGUAAAGCUCCUUCGACGAGUCGAGUAGUUUGGGAAUGCUGCUCUAAAUGGGAGGUAUAUUUCUUCUAAAGCUAAAUACUGGCCAGAGACCGAUAGCGCACAAGUAGAGUGAUCGAAAGAUGAAAAGCACUUUGAAAAGAGGGUUAAAUAGCACGUGAAAUUGUUGAAAGGGAAGCGUUUAUCACCAGACUUUUUCUGGGGGGAUCAUCCGGUGUUCUCACCGGUGCACUUCCCCCAGUUGAGGCCAGCAUCGGUUUUCGGAGGGGGAUAAAAGCUUCGGGAAUGUGACUCCCUCGGGAGUGUUAUAGCCCGUUGCAUAAUACCCUUCUGGGGACCGAGGUUCGCGCAUCUGCAAGGAUGCUGGCAUAAUGGUGAUCAACGACCCGUCUUGAAACACGGACCAAGGAGUCGAACAUUUAUGCGAGUGUUUGGGUGUCAAACCCUCACGCGUAAUGAAAGUGAACGGAGGUGAGAGCCCUUACGGGUGCAUCAUCGACCGAUCCUGAUGUCUUCGGAUGGAUUUGAGUAAGAGCAUAACUGUUCGGACCCGAAAGAUGGUGAACUAUGCGUGGAUAGGGUGAAGCCAGGAGAAAUCCUGGUGGAGGCUCGCAGCGGUUCUGACGUGCAAAUCGAUCGUCAAAUCUGCGCAUGGGGCGAAAGACUAAUCGA